UAGGGAAUCCUCCACAAUGGACGCAAGUCUGAUGGAGCAACGCCGCGUGAGUGAAGAAGGUUUUCGGAUCGUAAAGCUCUGUUGUUGGUGAAGAAGGAUAGAGGCAGUAACUGGUCUUUAUUUGACGGUAAUCAACCAGAAAGUCACGGCUAACUACGUGCCAG
This 164-nucleotide ribosomal RNA is filed under the name uncultured bacterium. Its description in RNAcentral is "partial 16S rRNA". It matches the Rfam family "Bacterial small subunit ribosomal RNA", at positions 355 to 511 of the family's 1533-position model. The record is from RNAcentral.